GACCAGACUCCUACGGGAGGCAGCAGUGGGGGAUAUUGCACAAUGGGGGAAACCCUGAUGCAGCGACGCCGCGUGGGUGAAGAAGCGCCUCGGCGCGUAAAGCCCUGUCAGCAGGGAAGAAAAUGACGGUACCUGAAGAAGAAGCCCCGGCUAACUACGUGCCAGCAGCCGCGGUAAUACGUAGGGGGCAAGCGUUAUCCGGAUUCACUGGGUGUAAAGGGAGCGUAGACGGCGACGCAAGUCUGGAGUGAAAGCCCGGGGCCCAACCCCGGGACUGCUCUGGAAACUGCGUCGCUAGAGUACGGGAGGGGCAGGCGGAAUUCCUGGUGUAGCGGUGAAAUGCGUAGAUAUCAGGAGGAGCACCGGCGGCGAAGGCGGCCUGCUGGACCGUGACUGACGUUGAGGCUCGAGAGCGUGGGGAGCAAACAGGAUUAGAUCCCCUCGUA
This 446-nucleotide ribosomal RNA is filed under the name uncultured bacterium. RNAcentral describes it as "bacterial SSU rRNA". It matches the Rfam family "Bacterial small subunit ribosomal RNA", at positions 329 to 792 of the family's 1533-position model. The record is from RNAcentral.